UCUUAUGAGUGUUGACUAGGAGAUCAAUGAGAGGGAAAGAGUAUGCUUUCUGCUAAAAUCGGCAACAUCAUCUCCUCUGGGAACUCUUAAGAAGCCUGUUACCUGACCUCUUCACAGCCGCACAAACCCAGUCGCCAAUAUUUGCAUACUUUCUCCAAGGACGCAGUUCCCCCGGGACAGUUCAUAAAUCCACAUCUUGGGAAAUGUUCAUAGGAUGCUACAAACUAAACAGGGCUUUGUUAAAUAAAGCUGGGGUGUACUGA
This 263-nucleotide long non-coding RNA is filed under the name Rattus norvegicus (Norway rat). Its description in RNAcentral is "long non-coding RNA NONRATT014078". Lineage: Eukaryota; Metazoa; Chordata; Mammalia; Rodentia; Muridae. The record is from RNAcentral.